This 578-nucleotide non-coding RNA is filed under the name Pan troglodytes (chimpanzee). The record is from RNAcentral. Lineage: Eukaryota; Metazoa; Chordata; Mammalia; Primates; Hominidae.
CUAGCCGGUGGUUCAGGUGGCCGGUCGGGCUGGAAGGGCGGGGAUGAGGGAUGGGACGCAUCCCGGGGGAUGCUCCUCCAAAGCUUUUAUCGGGCGAGCGCAGUGGCUCACGCCUGUAAUUCCUGCACUUUGGGAGGCUAAGAGAUGGGGUUUCACCAUAUUGGCUAGGCUGGUCUCGAACUCCUGACCUUGUGAUCCACCUGCCUUGGCCUCCCAAAGUGCUGGGAUUACAGGAUGAAAGGCUUCCUAGCACAAACACCACCCCUGGAGUUCCCGGUACAUCAAUACCAGCCUGGGGAUCACGUUCUCAUCAAGAGUUGGAAGAGGGAAAGCUUGAGCCAGCUUAGGAGGACCUUAUCUGGUACUCUUGAUGAACGAAACAGCAAUCUGAAUGGCUGAAAAAGGAUGGACCCAGCAUUCCAGGGAGAAAACUUGGCAUUCUUUGGGAAUCUAACAGGAUGCAGUGAACCCAAGCCUUUUCAAGAGCUCACCAAUCAGACUGCCCUUGUCUAUCCAUGAGCAGAUGUUUGAUAGUAUUGCGGAGGACCUCUAGUGGGUAUGCUGCCAAGCAACUGGAG